AGUGAACGCUGGCGGUAGGCCUAACACUUGCAAGUCGAACGGCAGCACAGUAAGAGCUUGCUCUUACGGGUGGCGAGUGGCGGACGGGUGAGGAAUACAUCGGAAUCUACUUUUUCGUGGGGGAUAACGUAGGGAAACUUACGCUAAUACCGCAUACGACCUACGGGUGAGAGCAGGGGAUCUUCGGACCUUGCGCGAUUGAAUGAGCCGAUGUCGGAUUAGCUAGUUGGCGGGGUAAAGGCCCACCAAGGCGACGAUCCGUAGCUGGUCUGAGAGGAUGAUCAGCCACACUGGAACUGAGACACGGUCCAGACUCCUACGGGAGGCAGCAGUGGGGAAUAUUGGACAAUGGGCGCAAGCCUGAUCCAGCCAUACCGCGUGGGUGAAGAAGGCCUUCGGGUUGUAAAGCCCUUUUGUUGGGAAAGAAAAGCAGCAGGUUAAUACCCCGCUGUUCUGACGGUACCCAAAGAAUAAGCACCGGCUAACUUCGUG
This 492-nucleotide ribosomal RNA is filed under the name uncultured bacterium. Its description in RNAcentral is "partial 16S ribosomal RNA". It matches the Rfam family "Bacterial small subunit ribosomal RNA", at positions 29 to 507 of the family's 1533-position model. The record is from RNAcentral.